GAUUGAACGCUGGCGGUAUGCUUAACACAUGCAAGUCGAACGGAAACGAUACUAGCUUGCUAGUAGGCGUCGAGUGGCGGACGGGUGAGUAACGCGUAGGAAUCUGCCUGAUAGUGGGGGAUAGCCCGAAGAAAUUCGGAUUAAUACCGCAUAAUCUAUUCGUAGUAAAGUGGGGGACUUUCGAGCCUCACGCUAUCAGAUGAGCCUGCGUAAGAUUAGCUAGUUGGUAGGGUAAAAGCCUACCAAGGCGACGAUCUUUAGCUGGUCUGAGAGGAUGAUCAGCCACAUCGGGACUGAGACACGGCCCGAACUCCUACGGGAGGCAGCAGUGGGGAAUAUUGGACAAUGGGGGCAACCCUGAUCCAGCAAUACCGCGUGUGUGAAGAAGGCCUGAGGGUUGUAAAGCACUUUCAAUUGUGAAGAAAAGUUAGCGGUUAAUAACCGUUAGCCUUGACGUUAACUUUAGAAGAAGCACCGGCUAACUCCGUGCCAGCAGCCGCGGUAAUACGGAGGGUGCAAGCGUUAAUCGGAAUUACUGGGCGUAAAGCGUGCGUAGGCGGUUUAUUAAGUCAGAUGUGAAAGCCCCGGGCUUAACCUGGGAACUGCAUUUGAAACUGGUCAACUAGAGUAUGGUAGAGGAAAGUGGAAUUUCUGGUGUAGCGGUGAAAUGCGUAGAUAUCAGAAGGAACAUCAAUGGCGAAAGGCAGCUUUCUGGACCAAUACUGACGCUGAGGUACGAAAGCGUGGGUAGCAAACAGGAUUAGAUACCCUGGUAGUCCACGCCGUAAACGAUGAUAACUAGCCGUUGGGGGGAUUUACCCUUUAGUGGCGAAGCUAACGCGUUAAGUUAUCCGCCUGGGGAGUACGGCCGCAAGGUUAAAACUCAAAGGAAUUGACGGGGACCCGCACAAGCGGUGGAGCAUGUGGUUUAAUUCGAUGCAACGCGAAGAACCUUACCUGGUCUUGACAUCCUGCGAACUUUCUAGAAAUAGAUUGGUGCCUUCGGGAACGCAGUGACAGGUGCUGCAUGGCUGUCGUCAGCUCGUGUCGUGAGAUGUUGGGUUAAGUCCCGUAACGAGCGCAACCCCUAUCCUUAUUUGCCAGCACAUCAUGGUGGGAACUAUAAGGAGACUGCCGGUGAUAAACCGGAGGAAGGCGGGGACGACGUCAAGUCAUCAUGGCCCUUACGACCAGGGCUACACACGUGCUACAAUGGGAAGGACAAAGAGCCGCGAAGCCGCGAGGUGUAGCUAAUCUCAUAAACCUUUUCGUAGUCCGGAUUGGAGUCUGCAACUCGACUCCAUGAAGUCGGAAUCGCUAGUAAUCGUAGAUCAGAAUGCUACGGUGAAUACGUUCCCGGGUCUUGUACACACCGCCC
Molecule: ribosomal RNA, 1378 nt
Filed under: uncultured bacterium
Lineage: Bacteria
Description: bacterial SSU rRNA
Rfam family: Bacterial small subunit ribosomal RNA
Source: RNAcentral